UACGGAGGGUGCGAGCGUUGUCCGGAAUCAUUGGGCGUAAAGGGCGCGUAGGUGGCUCGCCAAGCGGGCGGUGAAAGCCUGGGGCUCAACCCCGGGUCGGCCGUGCGAACUGGCGAGCUGGAGCACUGUAGAGGCAGGCGGAAUUCCCGGUGUAGCAGUGAAAUGCGUAGAGAUCGGGAGGAACAUCAGUUGCGAAGGCGGCUCUCUGGACCAGCACUGACACUGAGGCACGAAAGCGUGGGGAGCAAACAGG
This 253-nucleotide ribosomal RNA is filed under the name uncultured bacterium. Its description in RNAcentral is "partial 16S ribosomal RNA". It matches the Rfam family "Bacterial small subunit ribosomal RNA", at positions 524 to 776 of the family's 1533-position model. The record is from RNAcentral.